UUUAUUCUGCACACUGAUAAAGUUAAAGAGCCGCAGUCUUCUCACUGAGCAAAGGUAGCAUAAUCAAUUGUCUUUUAAUUGAAGUCUGGAAUGAAAGAAGGGAUGAGAUAAAAACUUUUUUAAUUUAAUAAAUUGAAUUUAAUUUUUUAAUAAAAAAGUUAAAAUUUUAAUAAAAGACGAGAAGACCCUAUAGAAUUUUAUAUAAUUUAAAUAUUAAAUAUUAUUAAUGUUUAGAUAUAUUUAAUUGGGAGGAUUGAUAAAAAUUUUUAACUUUAAAAUUUAAUUAAAACAAAAAUUUUUGAAUUUAAAAAUAAUUUUUUUUAAGAAAAUUAAAUUUAAUUACCUUAGGGAUAACAGCGUUAUUAUAUUAAUGAGUUCUAAUUGUUAAUAUAUUUUGCGACCUCGAUGUUGAAUAAGACUCUGGG
This 425-nucleotide ribosomal RNA is filed under the name Sclerogibba sp. SNU-HY00001. Its description in RNAcentral is "partial 16S ribosomal RNA". The record is from RNAcentral. Lineage: Eukaryota; Metazoa; Arthropoda; Insecta; Hymenoptera; Sclerogibbidae.